ACAUCGAGAGGGGCACAGGAGCAGGGGGCUUGGGAGAAACAGCAGGACUUGCUCACUCGUGGACUGGGAGGGUAUAAAAGCCCAGGGAUCCUUUGCUCAGGGUCCCUCCUCUGAGGCACCUGCUCGGAGCUGUUUCUGUGUUACUGCCCUGUGAAUAAAUUGCUGUAUGGAACGAGACAUCUGAGGCUCUGCUGUGGGAAACCCGGGAUGGAACUGAUGCAAGCCCUGCUCUGCAAGCAAAAGGUUGGCCAAACCUGCUUCUGUGGGCCCUUAUCCUCCAGCUGAAGAGCAUAUGGGAGAGUUAUCAGAUGGAGAAGACAAAGGUCACACUGUCAUCUUCAGGAGGGACCGUGCUGAGAGGAGGCUGCAAGUGUCCUGACUGGAGUAACUUCCUUAAUGGUGAAGUCUGGCAGCUCUGUGGGCUGGCUGCCACCCCACACUGGGCAGCACUGCAGAGAAAACACUUUGUCUUUAUUGUUACUGGUGUUGCUCACCACCACAGUGUCUGAUAUUACAUUUAGCACCUGUCUCAGCCAUAGGGGGUUGGGUGGGUUUCAGCUCGUGCUCCUCUGAGUGGUGCCUGCUCCAAAUGCCCUCCAAAUGGCAGCGGUGUGGGUGAGGACAUCCCUGUCACCAUCACCAUCCACCCUGACCUAUCCCUUGGUACAGCAGAGGGCUUUGCAGGACCAGGUUGGAAUCACCAAGAACAGACUGGACACUUGGAAUCGCA
Long non-coding RNA from Empidonax traillii (willow flycatcher), 730 nucleotides. RefSeq lists it as uncharacterized. NCBI's taxonomy places the organism in Eukaryota, Metazoa, Chordata, Aves, Passeriformes, Tyrannidae. The record is from RefSeq and is a predicted model, not a curated record. The transcript is spliced from 3 exons.